Molecule: ribosomal RNA, 468 nt
Filed under: uncultured bacterium
Lineage: Bacteria
Description: partial 16S ribosomal RNA
Rfam family: Bacterial small subunit ribosomal RNA
Source: RNAcentral
GACGAACGCUGGCGGCGUGCUUAACACAUGCAAGUCGAACGGAAAGGCCCUGCUUUUGUGGGGUGCUCGAGUGGCGAACGGGUGAGUAACACGUGAGUAACCUGCCCUUGACUUUGGGAUAACUUCAGGAAACUCGGGCUAAUACCGGAUAGGAGCUCCUGCUGCAUGGUGGGGGUUGGAAAGUUUCGGCGGUUGGGGAUGGACUCGCGGCUUAUCAGCUUGUUGGUGGGGUAGUGGCUUACCAAGGCUUUGACGGGUAGCCGGCUUGGGAGGGUGACCGGCCACAUUGGGACUGAGAUACGGCCCAGACUCAUACGGGGGGCAGCAGUGGGGAAUAGUGCACAAUGGGCGGAAGCCUGAUGCAGCAACGCCGCGUGCGGGAUGACGGCCUUCGGGUUGUAAACCGCUUUAGCCUGUGACGAAGCGUGAGUGACGGUAAUGGGUAAAGAAGCACCGGCUAACUACGUG